Chelonoidis abingdonii (Abingdon island giant tortoise) is the source of this 3158-nucleotide non-coding RNA. The record is from RefSeq and is a predicted model, not a curated record. Lineage: Eukaryota; Metazoa; Chordata; Testudines; Testudinidae.
AAUACCUUAUAUACUAGUCUACUGAGACCUAGGUUUACGUGGUCUAGGGGGGCCUUUAAUAGCCUCCAUACCAAGGAUGAAUUUCAGACAGUUCAGCCACUGGCGCUCUGCUCUUUAUACCAGGGUAUCUACAUUCCACCCUUGCAGGCUCAUCAUCUGGGAGAUCAAGGAGAUUUGUAGAAGCAAAACCAUGAACUUCAAGGAACUUGAGAUUCUUACCUCCACACCCCCCGCACCAUUACAUAGAGACUAGAUGGGAACAGAAUAGUUGAAGCUGACCUUUAGGGUAACUUGGAUCUGGUUUGCAAAAAUGUAUACAUAUGUUCUCUUCCAUACUUUUCAUUAACUCUUUCUCCCCCACCCUCAAGCCUUCUCCUUUUGAAAACUGCUUUGAAAACAUAAGUAUUUAAAUUUUUAAAUCAAUCAGCAGGGCUGAAAGCUAUCACAGCUUUUCCCUAGAGAUCAUUGGUUAUCUGUGCCAGUGCUGGCCUUUCAGGUUUGGGAGUCCACUCACACACAGUGCUGUACCUUAAACACCUAAGCUGCAUCUCAUUACUGGCAAAAGGCACAGGAUUAAAAUCAAGCAGUAAUGUCAAGCUCUCCUACCAAAUAUAACUAAGAUACUACUUCAGAACUCCAAACUGUGGGUGGGGAUUAUACGCAUUACAGGGAGAAGUUAAUGUACAAAAAUCCAACUUUAGGAAAAGAGGGAACAUUUUGGAUGGAUCUAUCCACUUAAAAAACCCUACCCAGCUGGUUUGAAGAUGCAGUUUCAAGGAUCUUGAACACUUUCAAGCCACUCAUCGAGGGUAGACCGUUGUAUUUAAAACAAUCCUGAGACUACACUGACAUUGUCAAAGACUUCAUUUUGGGUUUGCCUACCAUUCUUCGUAUGUGACAGGGUGUGGUCUGUCUUCUUAAGGCACUAUUCAGAUUUGGUUUUGUUUUCCUUAAGGAUUCAGGUCACUCUCCUGUUCGGAGUUUCCUUGUUCGGUGUGGCAUUGGUGUGAGUGAAAUGGAUCAGAAUGAAGCACGACAGGUAAAGGCUUCUUUUGUUUCUUCCUUCUAUUAGCUGCAACAUCUUUCUUUUCUUCUCGGAGAGCCAACAAAAAUCAAAUAGGCAAACGCAUGCACCUAUGGACAAGUUAUCCUGAUAAUUACUAAUGAUUUGGAGACUCAGAUGCAACAUGUUAAUAACUGAGAAUCUGGAACACGGGAAACUAUUUUUUUUUAAAAGGCCAGAAUCCUCAAUAGAAUAGAGGCUACCAGGAAGCACUGGUCUAGAUUUGGCUAGUAAGCCAACAGUUUUAAACUGGUACUGAUAGAUAAACUGGGGUUGUGUAUUUUGUUUUGUCCUCACCCCACCUCCCACCAGAUGAGGAUGACAAAUGAAAUUAUCCACCCACCUCCAGAAUAUCGGGGGGAGGGAGGGUUGUUUGUAUUUUAAGGAAAGAACAAACCAACUGAGCCACUCUAACUGUGCUAUUACCUUAAUGAUAUUCUUUCAAGUUUUCUCUCCCUCCCCACCCCACCUUUUUUUUUUUUUUUUUUUUUGAUAACAUGGGAGCAAGAGGGAACCAAUAGUUCUAAGGAAGCUAAAAGUUAACAUGGCUUUUUCUCUCUCCUUACUGGUGACCCAGGAUCACCAAUGACAACACUACAGCUUUGAGUAGAUGGCUUAAAACCUAAAAUCGCAGCUACCCUUUUAUAGAGCUGCACAAUAUCUUAAUUAGCAAUGGUUCAUUUAAAGGCAGAUCUAAAGUCUCAAAGUCCCUCGUAUCUAGAGCAUACACCAUUUAAUAUUUAAAAAAAAAAAACAGAAUAGAGGACAAGAGACAAUUUACCUAGUUUUAGAAAAAACUUGGCCCAAACAUCUAAAAGCCACCAGGAAAAACAAAACUAUCAUGAGUUGCUAAAAUAUAUGGAAAUACUUGGAGUCGUGUUAUGCAGGACUUGAUUGAAAAAUGCAUCCUUAGAGAGUAAGAUUCUUAAUUUGUUUACUAUUGGCUUAAAAUAUUUUGUUUGUUCAAAGAGUAAGAGAAAAUUACUUUGUUUUGAGAAAAAAUAAUUAACAAACGAAUUAUAAAAGUAAGAUGGAAGCCUUAUAAAAAAUGACAGUCAGGUCUAAUCCUGCAAUAAACUCAGUGCAAACAAUCUGUGUACCCCUGGGCUAGUGGUUUCAAUGGGACUCUAUGUGGGGGCAGUGGUUUGCCCACAAGAACUUGUUUGAGGGUGCAGUGCCUUACUUACCAAAACUGUCAGAACUCAUUACUUCAGGAAACCACAGUUGCCUCAUCUAAAAGAAAUGCCAGGGAAGCAACUCAGGGAACAGUGUCUGCUGUUCCUUAUACAGAAACUAACUGCAGAAAUUACACAGUACACUCUCUUUAUAGAGUUUCAUUAGUGAGGGAAUGACAGGCUGGCUGAGCAGCUUCACUUGUAAAUCACACACUAUCGAGGACAUUACUGAAAGUCACAAUCACUGAACUUACUCUUGUGAGAGGCUGACCACCCUCAACCCUUUGACUUCAAUAGAAUAUUAAAGCACCCAGAACCUUGCAGGACACAGCCCUAUAUUAAGGGCCAAUAAAAGAAUUGUUGGACCACCUACUAAAUGAUGUAAUUCAUAGUAGAAACAAACAAAAAUACGAAGUAGUUCUCACCUAAGUAUUUGUCAUCCAAUUAUUACUUUUACUGUGCCCAAGAGCAUAUUAGAGGCUUUACAGAACACAGAGAAAGACAAGUCCUUCCGCCAGAAAUCUUACAAUCUUGAAGUGUAAUAAACACAAAGGAGUGAAAGUAACACAUGAUUAGAUUUGUAACAUCAAACAACUUGAAUGGCUACAUAUGCUUUUUAAUAGUUCUGGGCUAUUUUGGGUUUGUUUUAUUAUAUAGCCCAUAUUCCAAUCACUAAUUCUUGGCAGAUCAACUCACUUUUUGGAAGCAAUGCUGCAGAUGUGUUUUCAAAAGGGAUUUAAAAAAGGCAAAAUAUUGAGGCCCAUGAAUAGAUUCCAGCAAAGCAUUUCCACCUGGCUUGGAACCACAGCUGGCCAAUCAGACAGGAAAGUCGUUGUUCUACUUAUUACCCAGAACCAAAAUAUAAAUGCUUCUAAACUUGGCAGGAUAAAAAAUGAUUUACUGGACCUAAAUAUUUCAUG